GGUUAAGCGACUAAGCGUACACGGUGGAUGCCCUGGCAGUCAGAGGCGAUGAAGGACGUGCUAAUCUGCGAUAAGCGUCGGUAAGGUGAUAUGAACCGUUAUAACCGGCGAUUUCCGAAUGGGGAAACCCAGUGUGAUUCGUCACACUAUCAUUAACUGAAUCCAUAGGUUAAUGAGGCGAACCGGGGGAACUGAAACAUCUAAGUACCCCGAGGAAAAGAAAUCAACCGAGAUUCCCCCAGUAGCGGCGAGCGAACGGGGAGCAGCCCAGAGCCUGAAUCAGUGUGUGUGUUAGUGGAAGCGUCUGGAAAGGCGCGCGAUACAGGGUGACAGCCCCGUACACAAAAAUGCACAUACUGUGAGCUCGAUGAGUAGGGCGGGACACGUGGUAUCCUGUCUGAAUAUGGGGGGACCAUCCUCCAAGGCUAAAUACUCCUGACUGACCGAUAGUGAACCAGUACCGUGAGGGAAAGGCGAAAAGAACCCCGGCGAGGGGAGUGAAAAAGAACCUGAAACCGUGUACGUACAAGCAGUGGGAGCACGCUUAGGCGUGUGACUGCGUACCUUUUGUAUAAUGGGUCAGCGACUUAUAUUCUGUAGCAAGGUUAACCGAAUAGGGGAGCCGAAGGGAAACCGAGUCUUAACUGGGCGUUAAGUUGCAGGGUAUAGACCCGAAACCCGGUGAUCUAGCCAUGGGCAGGUUGAAGGUUGGGUAACACUAACUGGAGGACCGAACCGACUAAUGUUGAAAAAUUAGCGGAUGACUUGUGGCUGGGGGUGAAAGGCCAAUCAAACCGGGAGAUAGCUGGUUCUCCCCGAAAGCUAUUUAGGUAGCGCCUCGUGAAUUCAUCUCCGGGGGUAGAGCACUGUUUCGGCAAGGGGGUCAUCCCGACUUACCAACCCGAUGCAAACUGCGAAUACCGGAGAAUGUUAUCACGGGAGACACACGGCGGGUGCUAACGUCCGUCGUGAAGAGGGAAACAACCCAGACCGCCAGCUAAGGUCCCAAAGUCAUGGUUAAGUGGGAAACGAUGUGGGAAGGCCCAGACAGCCAGGAUGUUGGCUUAGAAGCAGCCAUCAUUUAAAGAAAGCGUAAUAGCUCACUGGUCGAGUCGGCCUGCGCGGAAGAUGUAACGGGGCUAAACCAUGCACCGAAGCUGCGGCAGCGACGCUUAUGCGUUGUUGGGUAGGGGAGCGUUCUGUAAGCCUGCGAAGGUGUGCUGUGAGGCAUGCUGGAGGUAUCAGAAGUGCGAAUGCUGACAUAAGUAACGAUAAAGCGGGUGAAAAGCCCGCUCGCCGGAAGACCAAGGGUUCCUGUCCAACGUUAAUCGGGGCAGGGUGAGUCGACCCCUAAGGCGAGGCCGAAAGGCGUAGUCGAUGGGAAACAGGUUAAUAUUCCUGUACUUGGUGUUACUGCGAAGGGGGGACGGAGAAGGCUAUGUUGGCCGGGCGACGGUUGUCCCGGUUUAAGCGUGUAGGCUGGUUUUCCAGGCAAAUCCGGAAAAUCAAGGCUGAGGCGUGAUGACGAGGCACUACGGUGCUGAAGCAACAAAUGCCCUGCUUCCAGGAAAAGCCUCUAAGCAUCAGGUAACAUCAAAUCGUACCCCAAACCGACACAGGUGGUCAGGUAGAGAAUACCAAGGCGCUUGAGAGAACUCGGGUGAAGGAACUAGGCAAAAUGGUGCCGUAACUUCGGGAGAAGGCACGCUGAUAUGUAGGUGAAGUCCCUCGCGGAUGGAGCUGAAAUCAGUCGAAGAUACCAGCUGGCUGCAACUGUUUAUUAAAAACACAGCACUGUGCAAACACGAAAGUGGACGUAUACGGUGUGACGCCUGCCCGGUGC
This 1843-nucleotide ribosomal RNA is filed under the name Escherichia coli. Its description in RNAcentral is "partial 23S ribosomal RNA". It matches the Rfam family "Bacterial large subunit ribosomal RNA", at positions 1 to 1869 of the family's 2925-position model. The record is from RNAcentral. Lineage: Bacteria; Pseudomonadati; Pseudomonadota; Gammaproteobacteria; Enterobacterales; Enterobacteriaceae.